AAGACCUUGUGCUUUUGGAGCGGCCGAUGCCUGAUUAGCUUGUUGGUAAGGUAAAGGCUUACCAAGGCUUCGAUCAGUAGCUGGUCUGAGAGGACGGCCAGCCACACUGGGACUGAGACACGGCCCAGACUCCUACGGGAGGCAGCAGUGGGGAAUUUUGGACAAUGGGGGAAACCCUGAUCCAGCCAUGCCGCGUGAGUGAAGAAGGCCUUCGGGUUGUAAAGCUCUUUCAGCCGGAACGAAACGGUUACGGAUAAUACCCGUGACUACUGACGGUACCGGAAGAAGAAGCACCGGCUAACUACGUGCCAGCAGCCGCGGUAAUACGUAGGGUGCGAGCGUUAAUCGGAAUUACUGGGCGUAAAGCGUGCGCAGGUGGUUUUGUAAGUCAGAUGUGAAAGCCCCGGGCUCAACCUGGGAACU
Molecule: ribosomal RNA, 423 nt
Filed under: uncultured bacterium
Lineage: Bacteria
Description: bacterial SSU rRNA
Rfam family: Bacterial small subunit ribosomal RNA
Source: RNAcentral